Molecule: transfer RNA, 65 nt
Filed under: Hypselodoris bullockii
Lineage: Eukaryota; Metazoa; Mollusca; Gastropoda; Nudibranchia; Chromodorididae
Description: tRNA-Gly
Source: RNAcentral
CUCUAAAAAGUAUUUAAUUGUACAUUUGCCUUCCAAGCAAAAAGACUAAUAAUUUAGUUUAGAGA